This 502-nucleotide ribosomal RNA is filed under the name uncultured Actinomycetes bacterium. RNAcentral's name for it is "bacterial SSU rRNA". It matches the Rfam family "Bacterial small subunit ribosomal RNA", at positions 355 to 871 of the family's 1533-position model. The record is from RNAcentral. Lineage: Bacteria; Bacillati; Actinomycetota; Actinomycetes.
UGGGGAAUAUUGCACAAUGGGCGAAAGCCUGAUGCAGCAACGCCGCGUGCGGGAAGAAGGCCCUAGGGUUGUAAACCGCUUUCAGCAGGGAAGAAAAUGACGGUACCUGCAGAAGAAGGUGCGGCCAACUACGUGCCAGCAGCCGCGGUGACACGUAGGCACCAAGCGUUGUCCGGAUUUAUUGGGCGUAAAGAGCUCGUAGGCGGUUCAGUAAGUCGGGUGUGAAAACUCUGGGCUCAACCCAGAGAGGCCACCCGAUACUGCUGUGACUUGAGUACGGUAGGGGAGCGGGGAAUUCCUGGUGUAGCGGUGAAAUGCGCAGAUAUCAGGAGGAACACCAGUGGCGAAGGCGCCGCUCUGGGCCGUAACUGACGCUGAGGAGCGAAAGCGUGGGUAGCAAACAGGAUUAGAUACCCUGGUAGUCCACGCCGUAAACGUUGGGCACUAGGUGUGGGUCUCAACCAACGAGAUCCGCGCCGUCGCUAACGCAUUAAGUGCCCCG